RNAcentral lists this ribosomal RNA (482 nucleotides) under uncultured bacterium. RNAcentral's name for it is "partial 16S ribosomal RNA". It matches the Rfam family "Bacterial small subunit ribosomal RNA", at positions 30 to 507 of the family's 1533-position model. The record is from RNAcentral.
AUUGAACGCUGGCGGCAGGCCUAACACAUGCAAGUCGAGCGGAUGAAGGGAGCUUGCUCCUGGAUUCAGCGGCGACGGGUGGGUAAUGCCUAGGAAUCUGCCGGGUAGUGGGGGAUAACGUCCGGAAACGGGCGCUAAUUACGCUUACGUCCCGUGGGAGAAAGUGGGGGAUUCUCGACCUCACGCUACCAGAUGAGCCUAGGUCGGAUUAGCUAGUUGGUGGGGUUAAGGCCUACCAAGGCGACGAUCCGUAACUGGUCUGAGAGGAUGAUCAGUCACACUGGAACUGAGACACGGUCCAGACUCCUACGGGAGGCAGCAGUGGGGAAUAUUGGACAAUGGGCGAAAGCCUGAUCCAGCCAUGCCGCGUGUGUGAAGAAGGUCUUCGGAUUGUAAAGCACUUUAAGUUGGGAGGAAGGGCAGUAAGUUAAUACCUUGCUGUUUUGACGUUACCAACAGAAUAAGCACCGGCUAACUUCGUG